UACGGAGGGUGCAAGCGUUAUCCGGAUUCACUGGGUUUAAAGGGUGCGUAGGUGGGUCUGUAAGUCCGUGGUGAAAUCUCCAAGCUUAACUUGGACACUGCCAUGGAUACUAUAGGUCUUGAAUACCGUGGAGGUGAGCGGAAUAUGUCAUGUAGCGGUGAAAUGCUUAGAUAUGACAUAGAACACCAAUUGCGAAGGCAGCUCACUACACGAAUAUUGACACUGAGGCACGAAAGCGUGGGGAUCAAACAGG
RNAcentral lists this ribosomal RNA (253 nucleotides) under uncultured bacterium. Its description in RNAcentral is "partial 16S ribosomal RNA". It matches the Rfam family "Bacterial small subunit ribosomal RNA", at positions 524 to 776 of the family's 1533-position model. The record is from RNAcentral.